Molecule: long non-coding RNA, 655 nt
Organism: Marmota monax (woodchuck)
Lineage: Eukaryota; Metazoa; Chordata; Mammalia; Rodentia; Sciuridae
Exons: 3
Source: RefSeq, a predicted model, not a curated record
AUUACAGGGUUCAUUACCCAAGUUUUAGAGUUCUUCCAUUCCUUUUUUAAUUUUUGGUACUGAGGAUUGAAGCCAGGAGUGCUUAACACAGAGCCACAUCCCCAGCCCUCUUUUAUGUUUUAUUUAGAGACAGGGUCCCGCUGAGUUGCUUAGGGCCUUGCUAAAUUGCUGAGACUGGCUUUGAGCUUGUGAUCCUCCUGCCUCAGCCUCCAGGGCCGCUGGGAUUCCAGGUGUGUGUCACUGCACCGGGGAAACACAGCUGCAGAUUCCAGAUUCCUUCACUCAGCCUGCCACCACGCUGGACACAGGAGCUUCAGGGACGGGCUCCCAGGGAAUUUCUCAAGGAGCCGGGUCCUGGGUUGACUUUGGGACUCUCUCAACUGCCCAAGUAGAUCGGGAAAUUCAGCAAAGACGACAAAGGGAAGUUGUUUGCAAAAAUGGGAACUUUGGUUCGGAGUGGGCACUAGAGGGGGGAGUCUUCCUAGAAGCCGCAGGAACUUUUAGAAGCCGGUUUUCUUGAGAAGUGAUUGAGAUUUGAGCCUCUGUCAAUCACACCUGAGUCAGAAUUUUCAGUUCCAGCAUCUACAAUCCUCAUGACCUUGGACAAGUGACUUCGCCAGCCUACCGCUUAGUGUCCUCCUUUAUAAAAUGAUUA